AGCGAACGCUGGCGGCAGGCUUAACACAUGCAAGUCGAGCGGGCAUCCUUGUGGUGUCCGCGGCAGACGGGUGAGUAACGCGUGGGAACGUGCCCUUCGGUUCGGAAUAACUCAGGGAAACUUGAGCUAAUACCGGAUACGUGCGAGAGCAGAAAGGUUUAUCUGCCGAAGGAUCGGCCCGCGUCUGAUUAGCUAGUUGGUGAGGUUAUGGCUCACCAAGGCGACGAUCAGUAGCUGGUCUGAGAGGAUGAUCAGCCACACUGGGACUGAGACACGGCCCAGACUCCUACGGGAGGCAGCAGUGGGGAAUAUUGGACAAUGGGGGCAACCCUGAUCCAGCCAUGCCGCGUGAGUGAUGACGGCCUUAGGGUUGUAAAGAUCUUUUCUCCGGGACGAUAAUGACGGUACCGGAGGAAUAAGCCCCGGCUAACUUCGUG
This 437-nucleotide ribosomal RNA is filed under the name uncultured bacterium. RNAcentral describes it as "partial 16S ribosomal RNA". It matches the Rfam family "Bacterial small subunit ribosomal RNA", at positions 29 to 507 of the family's 1533-position model. The record is from RNAcentral.